This 433-nucleotide ribosomal RNA is filed under the name uncultured bacterium. RNAcentral describes it as "partial 16S ribosomal RNA". It matches the Rfam family "Bacterial small subunit ribosomal RNA", at positions 29 to 507 of the family's 1533-position model. The record is from RNAcentral.
AACGAACGCUGGCGGCAUGCCUAACACAUGCAAGUCGAACGAGACCUUCGGGUCUAGUGGCGCACGGGUGCGUAACGCGUGGGAACCUGCCCUUAGGUUCGGAAUAACUCCCCGAAAGGGGUGCUAAUACCGGAUAAUGUCUUCGGACCAAGGAUUUAUCGCCUUUGGAUGGGCCCGCGUUGGAUUAGCUAGUUGGUAGGGUAAAAGCCUACCAAGGCGACGAUCCAUAGCUGGUCUGAGAGGAUGAUCAGCCACACUGGGACUGAGACACGGCCCAGACUCCUACGGGAGGCAGCAGUGGGGAAUAUUGGACAAUGGGCGAAAGCCUGAUCCAGCAAUGCCGCGUGAGUGAUGAAGGCCUUAGGGUUGUAAAGCUCUUUUAACCGGGAUGAUAAUGACAGUACCGGGAGAAUAAGCUCCGGCUAACUCCGUG